Molecule: ribosomal RNA, 1420 nt
Filed under: metagenome
Description: bacterial SSU rRNA
Rfam family: Archaeal small subunit ribosomal RNA
Source: RNAcentral
CCCGUUGAUCCUGCGGGAGGUUGCUGCUAUCGGGAUUCGACUUAGACAUGCAAGUCUUGGCGCAAGCCGGCGCAAGGCUCAGUAACACGUCGGUAAUCUGCCCUAUGGUCAAGGACACCCACGGGAAACUGUGGUUAAGCCUUGAUAGGAGAUUGUUUCUGGAAUGAUCUUUCUCUGAAACUCGUGCCAUAGGAUGAGCCGGCGGCUGAUUAGGCUGUUGGUGGUGUAAUGGACCACCAAACCGAUGAUCAGUACGGGCCAUGAGAGUGGUAGCCCGGAGAGGGACACUGAGAUACUGGUCCCAGCCCCACGGGGUGCAGCAGUUACGAAACCUUUACCAUGCACGCAAGUGUGAUAAGGGGAUCCCGAGUGCUUAUGCAAAGCAUAGGCUUUUGUUAAGUGUAAAUAGCUCAGCGAAUAAGUGGUGGGAAAGACUGGUGCCAGCCGCCGCGGUAACACCAGCGCCACGAGUGGCAAUCGCGAUUAUUGGGCCUAAAGCGUCCGUAGCCGGUCUAGCAAAUCCUUUGUGAAAUGGUUGCGCCUAACGCAACCGCUUGCAGGGGACACUACUAGACUUGAGACCGGGAGGAGCUAGAAGUAUUCUAGGGGGAUCGGUAAAAUGAAUUAAUCCCUGGAAGACUACCGAUGGCGAAGGCAUCUAGCCAGAACGGAUCUGACGGUGAGGGACGAAAGCUAGGGGAGCGAACCGGAUUAGAUACCCGAGUAGUCCUAGCAGUAAACGCUGCGAACAAGGUGUUGCGUAUCCUACGGGGAUAUGCAGUGUCGAAGAGAAGUCGUUAAGUUCGCCGCCUGGGAAGUACGGUCGCAAGGCUGAAACUUUAAGGAAUUGGCGGGGGAGCACCACAAGGGGUGCGGCGUGCGGUUUAAUCUAACUCAACGCAGAAAAUCUUACUAGAGGCGACGGCAGGAUGAAGGUCAGUCUGAAGGGCUUACCCAACAAGCCGAGAGGUGGUGCAUGGCCGCCGUCAGCUCGUGCUGUAAAGUGUCCUCUUAAGUGAGGCAACGAGCGAGAUCUGUAUCUACAAUUGCUAACAGCUUUGUUAAGGACUGAGCACAUUGUAGAGACUGCCCGGGAAACCGGGAGGAAGGUGCAGGCUACGGUAGGUCUGUAUGCCCCGAAUCCUCUAGGCUACACGCGCGCAACAAUGGCAGCGACAAUGGGCUUCGACGCCGAAAGGCGAAGCUAAUCCUCGAAACGCUGUCUUAGUCUAGAUUGAGGGUUGCAACUCACCCUCAUGACAUUGGAAUCCCUAGUAAUCAGAAGUCAUCAUCUUCUGGUGAAUAUGUCCCUGCUCCUUCACACACCGCCCGUCAAAUCACCCGAGCAGGGUUUAGGUGAACCUUAUGUUAAGUAAGGUGAAUCUAAGCUCAGUGAGGGGGGUUAAGUCGUCACAAGGUA